Molecule: ribosomal RNA, 431 nt
Filed under: Anaplasma phagocytophilum
Lineage: Bacteria; Pseudomonadati; Pseudomonadota; Alphaproteobacteria; Rickettsiales; Anaplasmataceae
Description: bacterial SSU rRNA
Rfam family: Bacterial small subunit ribosomal RNA
Source: RNAcentral
AUAAUCCCUGCGGGGGAAAGAUUUAUCGCUAUUAGAUGAGCCUAUGUUAGAUUAGCUAGUUGGUAGGGUAAAGGCCUACCAAGGCGAUGAUCUAUAGCUGGUCUGAGAGGAUGAUCAGCCACACUGGAACUGAGAUACGGUCCAGACUCCUACGGGAGGCAGCAGUGGGGAAUAUUGGACAAUGGGCGCAAGCCUGAUCCAGCUAUGCCGCGUGAGUGAGGAAGGCCUUAGGGCUGUAAAACUCUUUCAGUAGGGAAGAUAAUGACGGUACCUACAGAAGAAGUCCCGGCAAACUCCGUGCCAGCAGCCGCGGUAAUACGGAGGGGGCAAGCGUUGUUCGGAAUUAUUGGGCGUAAAGGGCAUGUAGGCGGUUCGGUAAGUUAAAGGUGAAAUGCCAGGGCUUAACCCUGGAGCUGCUUUUAAUACUGCCA